Molecule: ribosomal RNA, 453 nt
Filed under: uncultured bacterium
Lineage: Bacteria
Description: bacterial SSU rRNA
Rfam family: Bacterial small subunit ribosomal RNA
Source: RNAcentral
UACGGGAGGCAGCAGUGGGGAAUAUUGCACAAUGGGCGCAAGCCUGAUGCAGCCAUGCCGCGUGUAUGAAAAAGGCCUUCGGGUUGUAAAGUACUUUCAGUCGUGAGGAAGGUGUUAAGGUUAAUAACCUUAGCAAUUGACGUUAGCGACAGAAGAAGCACCGGCUAACUCCGUGCCAGCAGCCGCGGUAAUACGGAGGGUGCGAGCGUUAAUCGGAAUUACUGGGCGUAAAGGGCACGCAGGCGGUUAAUUAAGUUGGAUGUGAAAUCCCCGGGCUUAACCUGGGAAUGGCAUUCAAGCUGGUUAGCUAGAGUCUUGUAGAGGGGGUAGAAUUCCAUGUGUAGCGGUGAAAUGCGUAGAGAUGUGGAGGAAUACCGGUGGCGAAGGCGGCCCCUGGACAAAGACUGACGCUCAUGUGCGAAAGCGUGGGGAGCAAACGAGGGAUUAGAUACC